GACCAAUCGACUUCUCCAGAUAUAUUCCUCUCCCCUACCAAACUUGUGAAAUUCAUCCAAAUCGAUUAGAGAGAUGUCCAUGGCUGGUUUCAGUCGACUUCACAAUAUCGAGGACCACCAAGGGUCGGUGUCACACGCCGCCGUGAAUGCGUGACUUGAAUCUCGGUCCCGCUAAAUGAAAGCGACGGUUUGAUUUUGAUUUUGUGGAUGACGAAACACCUUCAGCUUGCUAAUGACUCUUGAGAGGUAUAAGAAAUGCAAUUAUGGAGCACCUAAGAUCAAUGUGUAUGCUAGGGAGGCAUGGGUAAGCAUUACUUUUUUUAUGAAAGAUGCAUUGUAAUUCUCCCCUCUUUAGAGUUAUAUUUUUUAUAUUAUGGUGUCUGGAUGUGUCUUUAACUACUGCAACUUAAAGAAUAAUAACCAAACACUUAGUGGCUAUUUUUGUUCAAGAUCAAUGACUUUUUUAUAUAUUCUAUUAGUGGCUAACUAGCUAAUAAACUAAUAAUAAAUUCUUUGUUGUGUUUGUUGCUUUUGCUAUAAGAUUUUCUUUGAUCAAUAACAAUGUCUUUAAAUGUUGUUUUAUGAUUUUCUUUAUUUUUUCCUGAGGUUUGUGGAGGUAAAAGAUGAUUAAAGAGUGCUUAUGACACGCAAAAAGUUAAACUCAUCUGGAUCAACGUCAGGUGUCCACGUCAGCCAGGAGGUACUGAAUGCGGCUACUAUGUGAUGGAGU
Molecule: long non-coding RNA, 730 nt
Filed under: Helianthus annuus (common sunflower)
Lineage: Eukaryota; Viridiplantae; Streptophyta; Magnoliopsida; Asterales; Asteraceae
Description: hypothetical non coding rna
Source: RNAcentral